This 494-nucleotide ribosomal RNA is filed under the name uncultured bacterium. RNAcentral describes it as "partial 16S ribosomal RNA". It matches the Rfam family "Bacterial small subunit ribosomal RNA", at positions 28 to 507 of the family's 1533-position model. The record is from RNAcentral.
GACGAACGCUGGCGGCGCGCUUAACACAUGCAAGUCGAACGGAAAGGCCUGCUUUCCCUUGUGGAUUGCGGGUACUCGAGUGGCGAACGGGUGAGUAACACGUGAGUGAUCUGCCCCCAACUUGGGUAUAAGCCUGGGAAACUGGGUCUAAUUCCCGAUAGGACUGCAGGGUGGUGCCUGUGGUGGAAAACGAUUUUCUAGUGGUUGGGGAUGAGCUCGCGGCCUAUCAGCUUGUUGGUGGGGUAAUGGCCUACCAAGGCGGCGACGGGUAGCCGGCCUGAGAGGGUGGACGGCCACAUUGGGACUGAGAUACGGCCCAGACUCCUACGGGAGGCGGCAGUGGGGAAUAUUGCACAAUGGGCGGAAGCCUGAUGCAGCGACGCCGCGUGGGGGAUGACGGCCUUCGGGUUGUAAACUCCUUUCGACCGCGAGGAAGCCACCUGGUUGGAAGGGUGGUGACGGUAGAGGUAGAAGAAGCACCGGCUAACUACGUG